Molecule: long non-coding RNA, 945 nt
Organism: Misgurnus anguillicaudatus (oriental weatherfish)
Lineage: Eukaryota; Metazoa; Chordata; Actinopteri; Cypriniformes; Cobitidae
Source: RefSeq, a predicted model, not a curated record
UUCCCUGGACAUCCACAGUUACAGUUAAUACAUCUUAAUCAUGCCUGAAUAAGGUUGUAAGACAUUGUAAAACAUUGUAAUAUUAAGAAGUACCUAUAAAUCUACAUAGAUAAAUCCAUUAAUAAUUUUUAAGGUGCAAUGGGGUACUUUUAGAAGGAUCUUUGGCAGUAAUGCAAUACAAUAUACAUAACUAUAUUAUCAGUAGUGUAUAAACCUUAAACCUAUGUAUGACCUUACAUAAUGAACUGUAUUGUUUUUAUUACUUUAGAAUGAGCCAUUUUUAUCUACAUACACCGCAGGUCCCCUUACAUGGAAGUCCCUGCCAUGUUUCUACAGUAGGCCUAAACGGACAAACUUUUCUUUGGAGCACGUUUCGUCCCUAUGUUGUCUCAGACGACAACAUGUGUUUGUCCUGUGGCAGCUACCAUAGCUUCUCUUUGCGUUUCGAAAUUAAGACAUGGAUUCCAAAACAGAAGCCUAUUCCACAUUCGGACUCACCUUUAACUCAGAACAGAUGGUGGCUUGGCAGUAGAGGCUAAAGUCUAGUAUUGCUCCAGCACUGACACCUAAACUAAGAAGUACGCUCAGAUCAUCUAUGAAUAAUACUGGAGGACCCCAUGUUUCACCAUCUUCACUCUGAUGGACAGAACUUUCCACAAAUUUGAAAAGACAUUCCAGUCCAGCACCUGGGGACCUAGAUAAACAAAAAAGGCUAUGGACUUACCAGCCUCUGACUGACAGCACUGUAGUGGCUAAAGGACUGCACGAGACCCAGAAAGCACACCUUACAACCAGCUAAACAAACAUGGCCUCCUCCUUAAUGAUGAUGGCGCCCUCUGGCAACAUGACCACUUCUUCUCCACCAACCACCUCCUCCUCCUCCUCCUCCUCUUCCUGAAGGACCACUUCCUCUUGGGGCUCUGUGCCAGUGCCAUUGGUCUGGCC